UUUCUCCAAUAUUCUCAUGCAUGCCUCCUCUGGUUUUGGCAUCCAAAAACUAAUCCAUAUUAGGUUGGUUACUGCCCAUGUUUAAAUAGGAAGGGAGUUUGGUUUUAGGUAGGAGAUAAAAGUCCAAACUCUCCCUUGGACUCUAGCAUAUGAUGCCGCCCACCCUUUCUUAUUUUUGCAUCCAUGUUAUCUCACAGAGAAAAGAGUUUAAUGUGACUUGUUACAUGCAAAAGAGG
This 236-nucleotide long non-coding RNA is filed under the name Elaeis guineensis (African oil palm). Its description in RNAcentral is "long non-coding RNA (EGUI_LNC075299)". The record is from RNAcentral. Lineage: Eukaryota; Viridiplantae; Streptophyta; Magnoliopsida; Arecales; Arecaceae.